GAACAGGUAAGCUAAAUAAAGCUAUUAGGUUCAUACCCUGAGUAUAGGAAAUUAUAAUUCCUCCUGUUCA
This 70-nucleotide transfer RNA is filed under the name Coridius brunneus. RNAcentral describes it as "tRNA-Met". The record is from RNAcentral. Lineage: Eukaryota; Metazoa; Arthropoda; Insecta; Hemiptera; Dinidoridae.